Molecule: ribosomal RNA, 254 nt
Filed under: uncultured bacterium
Lineage: Bacteria
Description: partial 16S ribosomal RNA
Rfam family: Bacterial small subunit ribosomal RNA
Source: RNAcentral
UACGUAGGGAGCAAGCGUUUGUCCGGAAUCAUUGGGCGUAAAGCGCGCGUAGGCGGCCCCGUAAGUCCGCUGUGAAAGUCAAAGGCUCAACCUUUGAAAGCCGGUGGAAACUGUGGGGCUAGAGUCCGGAAGAGGCGAGUGGAAUUCCUGGUGUAGCGGUGGAAUGCGCAGAUAUCAGGAGGAACACCAAUAGCGAAGGCAGCUCGCUGGGACGGUACUGACGCUAAGGCGCGAAAGCGUGGGGAGCGAACAGG